RNAcentral lists this ribosomal RNA (1009 nucleotides) under Septoriella tridentina. RNAcentral's name for it is "SSU rRNA". It matches the Rfam family "Eukaryotic small subunit ribosomal RNA", at positions 85 to 1104 of the family's 1831-position model. The record is from RNAcentral. Lineage: Eukaryota; Fungi; Ascomycota; Dothideomycetes; Pleosporales; Phaeosphaeriaceae.
AACUGCGAAUGGCUCAUUAAAUCAGUUAUCGUUUAUUUGAUAGUACCUUACUACUUGGAUAACCGUGGUAAUUCUAGAGCUAAUACAUGCUAAAAACCCCAACUUCGGGAGGGGUGUAUUUAUUAGAUAAAAAACCAACGCCCUUCGGGGCUUCUUGGUGAUUCAUGAUAACUUUACGGAUCGCAUGGCCUUGCGCCGGCGACGGUUCAUUCAAAUUUCUGCCCUAUCAACUUUCGAUGGUAAGGUAUUGGCUUACCAUGGUUUCAACGGGUAACGGGGAAUUAGGGUUCGAUUCCGGAGAGGGAGCCUGAGAAACGGCUACCACAUCCAAGGAAGGCAGCAGGCGCGCAAAUUACCCAAUCCCGACACGGGGAGGUAGUGACAAUAAAUACUGAUACAGGGCUCUUUUGGGUCUUGUAAUUGGAAUGAGUACAAUUUAAACCUCUUAACGAGGAACAAUUGGAGGGCAAGUCUGGUGCCAGCAGCCGCGGUAAUUCCAGCUCCAAUAGCGUAUAUUAAAGUUGUUGCAGUUAAAAAGCUCGUAGUUGAAACUUGGGUCUGGCUGGCAGGUCCGCCUCACCGCGUGUACUUGUCCGGCCGGGCCUUCCUUCUGGAGAACCUCAUGCCCUUCACUGGGCGUGUUGGGGACCAGGACUUUUACUUUGAAAAAAUUAGAGUGUUCAAAGCAGGCCUUUGCUCGAAUACGUUAGCAUGGAAUAAUAGAAUAGGACGUGCGGUCCUAUUUUGUUGGUUUCUAGGACCGCCGUAAUGAUUAAUAGGGACAGUCGGGGGCAUCAGUAUUCAAUUGUCAGAGGUGAAAUUCUUGGAUUUAUUGAAGACUAACUACUGCGAAAGCAUUUGCCAAGGAUGUUUUCAUUAAUCAGUGAACGAAAGUUAGGGGAUCGAAGACGAUCAGAUACCGUCGUAGUCUUAACCGUAAACUAUGCCGACUAGGGAUCGGGCGAUGUUCUUUUUCUGACUCGCUCGGCACCUUACGAGAAAUCAAAGU